AUUGAACGCUGGCGGCAGGCCUAACACAUGCAAGUCGAACGGUAACAGGAAGAAGCUUGCUUCUUUGCUGACGAGUGGCGGACGGGUGAGUAAUGUCUGGGAAACUGCCUGAUGGAGGGGGAUAACUACUGGAAACGGUAGCUAAUACCGCAUAACGUCGCAAGCCCAAAGAGGGGGACCUUCGGGCCUCUUGCCAUCGGAUGUGCCCAGAUGGGAUUAGCUAGUAGGUGGGGUAACGGCUCACCUAGGCGACGAUCCCUAGCUGGUCUGAGAGGAUGACCAGCCACACUGGAACUGAGACACGGUCCAGGCGCCUGCGGGAGGCAGCAGUGGGGAAUAUGGCACAGUGGUCGCAAGCCUGAUGCAGCCAUGCCGCGUGUAUGAAGAAGGCCUUCGGGUUGUAAAGUACUUUCAGCGGUGGGGAAGGGAGUAAAGUUAAUACCUAGACUCAUUGACGUUACCCGCAGAAGAAGCACCGGCUAACUCCGUG
This 490-nucleotide ribosomal RNA is filed under the name uncultured bacterium. RNAcentral's name for it is "partial 16S ribosomal RNA". It matches the Rfam family "Bacterial small subunit ribosomal RNA", at positions 30 to 507 of the family's 1533-position model. The record is from RNAcentral.